UUAAAUUGAAGAGUUUGAUCAUGGCUCAGAUUGAACGCUGGCGGCAGGCCUAACACAUGCAAGUCGAACGGUAACAGGAAACAGCUUGCUGUUUCGCUGACGAGUGGCGGACGGGUGAGUAAUGUCUGGGAAACUGCCUGAUGGAGGG
This 148-nucleotide ribosomal RNA is filed under the name Escherichia coli. RNAcentral's name for it is "partial 16S ribosomal RNA". It matches the Rfam family "Bacterial small subunit ribosomal RNA", at positions 1 to 140 of the family's 1533-position model. The record is from RNAcentral. Lineage: Bacteria; Pseudomonadati; Pseudomonadota; Gammaproteobacteria; Enterobacterales; Enterobacteriaceae.